GAUCAUUACCGAGUGUAGGGUUCCUAGCGAGCCCAACCUCCCACCCGUGUUUACUGUACCUUAGUUGCUUCGGCGGGCCCGCCAUUCAUGGCCGCCGGGGGCUCUCAGCCCCGGGCCCGCGCCCGCCGGAGACACCACGAACUCUGUCUGAUCUAGUGAAGUCUGAGUUGAUUGUAUCGCAAUCAGUUAAAACUUUCAACAAUGGAUCUCUUGGUUCCGGCAUCGAUGAAGAACGCAGCGAAAUGCGAUAACUAGUGUGAAUUGCAGAAUUCCGUGAAUCAUCGAGUCUUUGAACGCACAUUGCGCCCCCUGGUAUUCCGGGGGGCAUGCCUGUCCGAGCGUCAUUGCUGCCCAUCAAGCACGGCUUGUGUGUUGGGUCGUCGUCCCCUCUCCGGGGGGGACGGGCCCCAAAGGCAGCGGCGGCACCGCGUCCGAUCCUCGAGCGUAUGGGGCUUUGUCACCCGCUCUGUAGGCCCGGCCGGCGCUUGCCGAACGCAAAUCAAUCUUUUUCCAGGUUGACCUCGGAUCAGGUAGGGAUACCCGCUGAACUUAAGCAUAUC
This 560-nucleotide unclassified non-coding RNA is filed under the name Aspergillus flavus. RNAcentral's name for it is "sequence contains 18S rRNA gene, ITS1, 5.8S rRNA gene, ITS2, 28S rRNA gene". The stretch from base 191 to 344 matches the Rfam family "5.8S ribosomal RNA". The record is from RNAcentral. Lineage: Eukaryota; Fungi; Ascomycota; Eurotiomycetes; Eurotiales; Aspergillaceae.